UACGGAGGGUGCAAGCGUUGUUCGGAAUUACUGGGCGUAAAGGGUGUCUAGGCGGCCUGGCAAGUCAGAUGUGAAAGCCCUCGGCUUAACCGAGGAAGUGCAUCUGAAACUGCUAGGCUUGAAUACUGGAGGGGGUAGCGGAAUUCCUGGUGUAGAGGUGAAAUUCGUAGAGAUCAGGAGGAACACCAGUGGCGAAGGCGGCUACCUGGCCAGAUAUUGACGCUGAAGCACGAAAGCGUGGGGAGCAAAC
RNAcentral lists this ribosomal RNA (250 nucleotides) under uncultured bacterium. RNAcentral's name for it is "partial 16S ribosomal RNA". It matches the Rfam family "Bacterial small subunit ribosomal RNA", at positions 524 to 773 of the family's 1533-position model. The record is from RNAcentral.